RNAcentral lists this ribosomal RNA (305 nucleotides) under uncultured bacterium. RNAcentral's name for it is "partial 16S ribosomal RNA". It matches the Rfam family "Bacterial small subunit ribosomal RNA", at positions 505 to 807 of the family's 1533-position model. The record is from RNAcentral.
ACAGCAGCAGCCACGGUAAUACGUAGGGUGCGAGCGUUAAUCGGAAUUACUGGGCGUAAAGCGUGCGCAGGCGGUUGUGUAAGACAGGUGUGAAAUCCCCGGGCUUAGCCUGGGAACUGCGCUUGUGACUGCACAGCUAGAGUAUGGCAGAGGGGGGUGGAAUUCCACGUGUAGCAGUGAAAUGCGUAGAGAUGUGGAGGAACACCGAUGGCGAAGGCAGCCCCCUGGGCCAAUACUGACGCUCAUGCACGAAAGCGUGGGGAGCAAACAGGAUUAGAUACCCCCGUAGUCCCUGUCUCUUAUAC